GUGCUUGCUUCAGCAGCAUAUAGACCAAAAUUGAAACGCAACAAAGAUGAGCGUGGCCCCUGUGCAAGGAUGACAUGCAUAUUUGGGAAGCAUUCCGUAUUUUA
Molecule: small nuclear RNA, 104 nt
Organism: Chlorocebus sabaeus (green monkey)
Lineage: Eukaryota; Metazoa; Chordata; Mammalia; Primates; Cercopithecidae
Source: Ensembl